GCGUCUGGCUCAGGAGUAAAAGAAACACCUUCCUUCCCUCACAUCCGUUUGUGGUUUGUUUAAGAAGAGGAGGAAAAGAGAGAGAGAGAGAAAAGAGAGAGAGAGAGGAAAAAAAACAGGGUGGAAAAGCGCUCAACUCUCCCCCCCGAAGCCGCGGCGCGCACCCGUCCACGCCGAGCGCGCAGCCUGCCUGAUCCGCUCGGCCCCGGCGCUCUCGGCCCGCCGCCGCCGGGCAGAGUUGGAUUCUGUUCAUGUUCUCCAACCAGUGACUUCAUAUUGUCUGCCCUUGCCCAUGUACCAGUGCUGGAAGGCCUUGACCUGAAGCAUGACUGUGAACUGCUUUGAGAUGGUCUGAAUGACCUCAUGGAUCAUUGGCAACCAGUGUUGCUGCCUUUGAAGGUGGCUGACAACUGAUGUCUCCUGGAGGGAUUUCACACAUGGUUGUAUUCAUGCUGCUGAGCAUCCACUCCAAGAAGUAGCUGCUGUUCUUCAUAUUGAGCAUCUACCUCCUACAUGCACAUGAAUAUGGCAACCAUGGGCACUUUUUGCCUAAUGGUCUUGGCUCUAGAAGGAAGAAUGCUACCAUAAGGAUACAGUACAUUUAUGCUGAACUGGAAAUCAACACUGUCACAGUUUCCAAGCAUUUGUGAAAAUUCAGAUUUUUUUACUUUUCUUUGACCUCUGACCAGGGCAGGUCCUGACCCCGUUCCUUUGGCUCUGAUCUGUAUCUGCGCAAUGUGAAGCAAGCAGAAGUUACUGCACCUGUGGCCUGUGUACGAAGUACGAUGACCAUAGUACGAUGACCACAUCAUGGGCAGCACUGCACUGAGCUCUCUCAGUGACUUGACCAUAGUACGGUGACCGCAUCAUGUGCAGCACUGCGCUGGGCUCACGCAGUGACUUGACCAUAGUAAGAUGACCGCAUCAUGUGCAGCACUGCGCUGGACUCACUCUCAGUGACUUGACCAUAAUACAGUGACCGCAUCAUGUGCAGCACUGCGCUGGACUCACUCUUAGUGACUUGACCAUACUACGGUGACCGCAUCAUGUGCAGCACUGCGCUGGACUCACUCUCAGUGACUUGACCAU
Mastomys coucha (southern multimammate mouse) is the source of this 1089-nucleotide long non-coding RNA. RefSeq lists it as uncharacterized. Lineage: Eukaryota; Metazoa; Chordata; Mammalia; Rodentia; Muridae. The transcript is spliced from 4 exons. The record is from RefSeq and is a predicted model, not a curated record.